Molecule: long non-coding RNA, 511 nt
Filed under: Homo sapiens (human)
Lineage: Eukaryota; Metazoa; Chordata; Mammalia; Primates; Hominidae
Description: HSALNT0231151
Source: RNAcentral
CGGCCCCAUCACCCCCGCCGCGGCCGCCCCCUCUCCGGGGCCCCUCUUCUCCCUACCUCGCCCCCCUUCCCGCUCCGGUCCUCUUUGUCCCCACUGCCUCGGAGCGCUCCUCUCUCCCCUCCUUUCCUCGGCCGAAGCGGACGCCAGCCCUGCGUCCCGUGUGUCCCACCCUCCUCCUGCGCGACCACAGCUUCCCCGGGCCCCAGCAUCCCCAAGCCGUCUGCUCCCUUCCUGUCGCUUUCCUCCCCAUGACCCCCUUCCUUCUUCAUGGGUGCCUGUCCCCGGGCCCCUCUCCUCGACCCCGCCUUGCCUUUCGAAUGUCCCCUGCGUGGACACACCUAACCCAGACGCCAACCUGCACGAGUGUCUCCCGGUAGCCGGGAGCCGGGACCCCAAGUUCACCUGUAGGAUUUCCCAGAAGGGGUGUUGGGGCCUGACCUUUCACAGAGUAGAUCGGGCUUGUGACACCUGUGUGUGUACCUUCACUCAAUAUUAUCUUUCUGGAACGGAG